This 357-nucleotide ribosomal RNA is filed under the name Haptophyta environmental samples. RNAcentral's name for it is "SSU rRNA". It matches the Rfam family "Eukaryotic small subunit ribosomal RNA", at positions 595 to 957 of the family's 1831-position model. Lineage: Eukaryota; Haptophyta. The record is from RNAcentral.
UAGCGUAUAUUAAAGUUGUUGCAGUUAGAACGCUCGUAGUCGGAUUUCGGGGCGUGCCGACCGGUCUGCCGAUGGGUACGCACUGGUCGGCGUGUCCUUCCUUCCGGAGACCGUCUCACUCUUAACUGAGCGGAGGCGGGAGACGGAACGUUUACUUUGAAAAAAUCAGAGUGUUUCAAGCAGGCAGCUCGCUCUUGCAUGGAUUAGCAUGGGAUAAUGAAAUAGGACUUUGGUGCUAUUUUGUUGGUUUCGAACACCGAAGUAAUGAUGAGAAGGGACAGUCAGGGGCACUCGUAUUCCGCCGAGAGAGGUGAAAUUCUCAGACCAGCGGAAGACGAACCACUGCGAAAGCAUUUG